GACGAGGUGGCCGAGAGGUUAAGGCGAUGGACUGCUAAUCCGUUGGGGUCUCCCCGCGUGCUCGAGAUCGAAUCUCAUCCUCGUCG
Non-coding RNA from Mya arenaria, 86 nucleotides. Lineage: Eukaryota; Metazoa; Mollusca; Bivalvia; Myida; Myidae. The record is from the annotation of a RefSeq genome assembly.